Ctenocephalides felis (cat flea) is the source of this 201-nucleotide long non-coding RNA. RefSeq lists it as uncharacterized. Lineage: Eukaryota; Metazoa; Arthropoda; Insecta; Siphonaptera; Pulicidae. The record is from RefSeq and is a predicted model, not a curated record. The transcript is spliced from 3 exons.
GAGCAAAGAUAUCAAAACACAAUUGAUUCUGUAUUUAGCCAUCAGAGUCCAGCUAUGAAAAUCCAUUUUUGAUGAUGGUUUGGCCAAAGAAUUUUGCUAGGGACGAGGAAAGGGCAAAAAUAAAUUUUGUGAUCUAGUGCCUUGCGAUGUCAUCACAGGAAUUGCUUUGAAAAAUUUGCCGCAUGAGACAUAGUUUGCUGU